GUUUAUAACUGGCACGGGCGUAGGAGUUUUCUCCACGCCCGUGCACGCAUGUUAGGGGCAGAACAAAG
This 68-nucleotide small RNA is filed under the name uncultured Buttiauxella sp. Its description in RNAcentral is "tpke11". It matches the Rfam family "tpke11", at positions 5 to 73 of the family's 77-position model. Rfam says of the family: In Yersinia located in ICR upstream dnaJ (chaperone)gene. Has temperature responsive RNA structure. The record is from RNAcentral. Lineage: Bacteria; Pseudomonadati; Pseudomonadota; Gammaproteobacteria; Enterobacterales; Enterobacteriaceae.